Molecule: transfer RNA, 87 nt
Filed under: Acidobacteriota bacterium
Lineage: Bacteria; Pseudomonadati; Acidobacteriota
Description: Acidobacteria bacterium tRNA-Leu
Rfam family: tRNA
About the family: Transfer RNA (tRNA) molecules are approximately 80 nucleotides in length.
Source: RNAcentral
GCGGAAGUGGCGGAACUGGCAGACGCGCAAGCCUCAGAAGCUUGUGGGCUUCGGCUCCUGGGGGGUCAAAUCCCCCCUUCCGCACCA